UACGUAGGGUGCGAGCGUUGUCCGGAAUUAUUGGGCGUAAAGGGCUCGUAGGCGGUCUGUCGCGUCGGGAGUGAAAACUCAGGGCUUAACCCUGAGCCUGCUUCCGAUACGGGCAGACUAGAGGUAUGCAGGGGAGAACGGAAUUCCUGGUGUAGCAGUGAAAUGCGUAGAUAUCAGGAGGAAUACCGAUGGCGAAGGCAGGUCUCUGGGCUGACACUGACGCUCAUGCACGAAAGCGUGGGGAGCAAACAGG
Molecule: ribosomal RNA, 253 nt
Filed under: uncultured bacterium
Lineage: Bacteria
Description: partial 16S ribosomal RNA
Rfam family: Bacterial small subunit ribosomal RNA
Source: RNAcentral